This 390-nucleotide ribosomal RNA is filed under the name uncultured bacterium. RNAcentral's name for it is "bacterial SSU rRNA". It matches the Rfam family "Bacterial small subunit ribosomal RNA", at positions 29 to 419 of the family's 1533-position model. The record is from RNAcentral.
AUUGAACGCUGGCGGCGUGCCUAACACAUGCAAGUCGAGCGGUAACAGGUGUAGCAAUACAUGCUGACGAGCGGCGAACGGGUGAGUAAUGCUUCGGAAUCUACCCAAUGGUGGGGAAUAACCAGCCGAAAGGUUGGCUAAUACCGCAUACGUCCCACGGGAGAAAGCAGGGGAUCGCAAGACCUUGCGCCAAUGGAUGAGCCGAAGUCGGAUUAGCUAGUUGGAGGGUAACGGCCUACCAAGGCGACGAUCCGUAGCUGGUCUGAGAGGACGACCAGCCACACUGGGACUGAGACACGGCCCAGACUCCUACGGGAGGCAGCAGUGGGGAAUAUUGGACAAUGGGGGAAACCCUGAUCCAGCGACGCCGCGUGUGUGAAGAAGGCCUGC